RNAcentral lists this non-coding RNA (20 nucleotides) under Arabidopsis thaliana (thale cress). Lineage: Eukaryota; Viridiplantae; Streptophyta; Magnoliopsida; Brassicales; Brassicaceae. The record is from RNAcentral.
UGCGUUGAUGUUUGUGCUGC